GGAGGGUGCAAGCGUUGCUCGGAAUCAUUGGGCGUAAAGGGUGCGUAGGCGGCUUCUUAAGUCUGACGUGAAAGCCCAGGGCUUAGCCUUGGAAGUGCGUUAGAAACUGAGAAGCUUGAGUGCCGGAGGGGAGAGUGGAAUUCCUGGUGUAGCGGUGAAAUGCGUAGAUAUCAGGAGGAAUACCGGUGGCGAAAGCGACUCUCUGGACGGCAACUGACGCUGAGGCACGAAAGCGUGGGUAGCAAACAGGAUUAGAUACCCUGGUAGUCCACGCUGUAAACGAUGGACACUAGGUGUCGGGGGUAUCCACUCCCUCGGUGCCGCCGCUAACGCAUUAAGUGUCCCGCCUGGGAAGUACGGCCGCAAGGUUA
Molecule: ribosomal RNA, 371 nt
Filed under: uncultured bacterium
Lineage: Bacteria
Description: bacterial SSU rRNA
Rfam family: Bacterial small subunit ribosomal RNA
Source: RNAcentral